Molecule: long non-coding RNA, 2811 nt
Filed under: Mus musculus (house mouse)
Lineage: Eukaryota; Metazoa; Chordata; Mammalia; Rodentia; Muridae
Description: long non-coding RNA chr18:56733822-56736633
Source: RNAcentral
AGCAUCAGAGAGGCAGAGAUAAGAUUGCUGCAAGUUCAAGGUUGGCCAGGGCUACAUAGUAAGAUGCUGCCUCCGACUCUCCCCUCCUCCCCAAAACACCCUUUGUACGUCAGCAAACCAACCAUGCUUUUCCUGUUUCAUAACAGUAAGUGACAGAAGUGAGGGCUGAGGGAGAUCCCGUCAGCUCUGACGUAGUGCUCACUCUGUCACAGGAUGCAGAGCUGGGCUGUCUGUCUGUCUGCCUGCCUGUCUGUUUGCCUGCCUGCCUGCCUGUCUGCCUGUCUCAUCUCUGCAGUACAGCUCCCACUCAUUUGGUCACACUUGGAAACCAAAAACAUACUCAAAUUGUAACUGGUGACUGGUGAGGUGCCUUCUUUCUAAGUCCCUGUGGUUGAAAUACUUAACGGGUUAUGAAUGUCUAUAUUCAUUAAUAGUCAUGGCCCCAUUGUCUUCCUGGUAUACCCCAGCGACAAGUGACUGCGUCACUCCUUGUGCUGACCAGCUGGCUGCAGUGUUGCCAUGCUCCAGAAGAAGUGAAGUAGGCCUGGAUGUGGCUUCAAGUCAGUUUUAUUCUGGAUAAAGUGACGCAUGCGUGGAACAAAGCCUGCAUUUAGCAUUGCCCCUGUCUGUACUGUACUGUACUGUACUGUACUGUGGGAAGUAGCUUCAGCCUUUAUUUUCCUGAGGGAAGAAAAUCCUGUUCAAAUUUUAUUAUGCCAUUUUAUUAGGCAGGUUUUUCUUUCUGUUUUUUUUUUUUGUUGUUGUUGUUGUUAUUGUUGUUAUUUUUAGCAAAAUCUUUAGGUAUAAAAUCACUAGUUACUGAGUUUAGAAAUUAAAGCAGAAAACAAGUCACAUAGAACAAUGAUAAAUCAGUUAAUAGAGAGUUUACAUUGUUGCCUUGGGUGCUUAUUAACUUGUGUCAUAAAACUUUAAAUUAUUUUAGAAUUAGUUUGUUCUGCUAGUAUUUUGAAGUUUCAUGUAACAAUGGACUACCCACUCUAUUAAACCACAGACCAGGGUGAGUUUAAUUACUUUCCCAGAGGCUUCAGGGUAGCAAAUUCCUUCCCAGAAUUCCCUUUAUGUCUAACUCUCAUUGAAAAUCAUCUUGGAGAAAUUUGUUCUCUGUUGCACCACCUGACUUAGUCUUCUUGGGCUGCUAUAGCAAAAUGUUACAAAUGACUUCCCCCAAGCUUGAGAUGAUCUGUCUCCUUCCUUCCGAGCCCUCCUCCCCCACCUCAGGCCCCCAUGAUUGCUCAGUAAGUACUUCACUGACUGAGUAGCUCCGCAGCCCAGUUCAGGAGCUUGGAAUGGCUAAGUCCAGGAGAGAGAGAAUGGUGAGUUCCCAUCUCACACCUCUAGAUGGCGCUCUCCGUGUCGUGUGGUAGGAGGGCAAAUACAGUGCACUCCCCAGGGCCUGUUUUAUGAAAGUGCCAAUUGUAGUUCGGAGGCCUCAGCUCUCCCUUGCACUCUUUUAGCACUGCCAAGUUACAGGAGUGAGAUUUUCAACAUGCGAAACUGGGGGACAUUAACUGGUACGUUCCUACAAAUGGGCCUCCCUGCUCCUGCGAUAAAUUGAUGUCGACCACUCUCCCCGUAAGACAGUGCUCACUUCUCCGUCUUGUUUGUGUGCCUGUUGCUUCUCUUGAGGCUGAUCUUUGUUUUACAGCUGAGGAGGCCGAGACUUACAUAGCAGUGGGUUCGGGGACUCUUGAGUUCAGUCUUUAGUUUUGUGCUAUUAUUCUCCGUUUUCUACAAGCGCUUCCAGGUUAGUGGGUUUUAAACUGUUGCCUUGGGCUUUCUAGGAGCCUCCUGCCUUAGUGAACAGACAGGCGCCUGCUUCAGCUGGAGUGGGCUUUAGUUUCUCAUUGCUGACAGGCUUUACCUGAAGAAGAGAUGAGCACACUCCCAUACUUGCUGGGGAACCUGGGCAGGCUUACGGCUUUCCCAACCCUCCUGCCUCACACACAAUCCUGCAAUUUCAGGUGUGUGCCCCUGUGUCCAGUCUAACAAAAAAGGCUUUGAGUGUUUUCAGUCUUGAAGAAAAAAAAAAAAGAUGUGUUUAAGUUUUCCCUGUUGUACGUCUGAGGGUUGUUGGGUCACUGGAGUUUCAUCAUGUUGGUGUGGGGCCAUAAGAGUUUCCUUCUGCCAGUGUGACCUAUGCUCCUGGCGGUCUUACAGAAAGAUUGAAGCAACCUUUCUAGAAAUAUUUUUAGAAGAGAAGUACAGAGAUGAUGUUUGGGCACUAGGAAUUUCUUAACAGUACUUGGUAUUUGUUUGGUCCAAGUCUGCCUGCCUUGCAAGAGUCUGCAGCUGCUUCUAGCACCCAGACUCUGGGAACUGUUGCUACAUCUGUAUCAUAACGAGUCAGGAUCAUUGUGUUAUGAAUUAUAAAUAAAACCUGGAGCUUGGAGCCGGGCAGUGGUGGCGCACACCUUUAAUCCCAGCACUUGGGAGGCAGAGGCAAGCGGAUUUCUGAGUUCGAGGCCAGCUUGGUCUACAGAGUGAGUGCCAGGACAGCCGGGGCUACACAGAGAAACCCUGUCUCCAAUAACCAAAAAGAAAAAAGAAAAAGAAAAACAAAACAAACCUGGGUCUGGUGUGAUGGCUCAGUGGGUGUUAGAACACUUAGUUCUCUCGUAGAGGAUCUGGGUUCAGUUCCCAGUGCCCACAGGAUGAUUGGGAAACCGUCUAUAACCCCAGUUCCAGGGGAUCUGGCACUCUUCUUUCUAACCUUUGUGGGCAUCAGGCACUCGUGUCACUUAGUAUACAUGUGUGCAGGCAAAACUCUCAGAUCCAUAAAAAUAAUAAAAG